This 371-nucleotide ribosomal RNA is filed under the name Listeria monocytogenes. Its description in RNAcentral is "bacterial LSU rRNA". It matches the Rfam family "Bacterial large subunit ribosomal RNA", at positions 1995 to 2365 of the family's 2925-position model. Lineage: Bacteria; Bacillati; Bacillota; Bacilli; Caryophanales; Listeriaceae. The record is from RNAcentral.
AAAGGCGUAAUGAUUUGGGCACUGUCUCAACGAGAGACUCGGUGAAAUUUUAGUACCUGUGAAGAUGCAGGUUACCCGCGACAGGACGGAAAGACCCCAUGGAGCUUUACUGCAGUUUGAUAUUGAGUAUCUGUACCACAUGUACAGGAUAGGUAGGAGCCUAUGAUAACGGGACGCCAGUUUCGUUUGAGGCGUUGUUGGGAUACUACCCUUGUGUUAUGGCUACUCUAACCCAGAUAGGCAAUCCCUAUCGGAGACAGUGUCUGACGGGCAGUUUGACUGGGGCGGUCGCCUCCUAAAAGGUAACGGAGGCGCCCAAAGGUUCCCUCAGACUGGUUGGAAAUCAGUCGUAGAGUGUAAAGGUAUAAGGG